CCUACGGGAGGCAGCAGUGGGGAAUCUUGCGCAAUGGGGGCAACCCUGACGCAGCCAUGCCGCGUGAAUGAUGAAGGCCUUAGGGUUGUAAAGUUCUUUUGCCCGUGACGAUGAUGACGGUAACGGGAGAAUAAGCUCCGGCUAACUUCGUGCCAGCAGCCGCGGUAAUACGAAGGGGGCUAGCGUUGUUCGGAAUUACUGGGCGUAAAGCGCGCGCAGGCGGUUCGAUAAGUUAGGGGUGAAAUCCCUGGGCUCAACCCAGGAAUGGCCUUUAAGACUGUCGAGCUAGAGGACGAGAGAGGUGAGUGGAAUUCCCAGUGUAGAGGUGAAAUUCGUAGAUAUUGGGAAGAACACCGGUGGCGAAGGCGGCUCACUGGCUCGUUUCUGACGCUGAGGCGCGAAAGCGUGGGGAGCAAACAGGAUUAGAUACCCGUGGUAGUCCACGCCCUAAACGAUGAGUGCCAGGUGUCGGGAAGCUUAGCUUCUCGGCGCCGCAGCUAACGCCUUAAGCACUCCGCCUGGGGAGUACGGCCGCAAGGUUAAACUUAAAUGAAUUGACGGCUGAGACGNGCGAGCGACGACGAGGGAGAG
RNAcentral lists this ribosomal RNA (591 nucleotides) under uncultured bacterium. RNAcentral's name for it is "bacterial SSU rRNA". It matches the Rfam family "Bacterial small subunit ribosomal RNA", at positions 338 to 945 of the family's 1533-position model. The record is from RNAcentral.